CCUACGUGUGGCAGCAGUAGGGAAUAUUUCUCAAUGGGGGAAACCCUGAAGCAGCAACGCCGCGUGGAGGAUGAAGGUUUUCGGAUUGUAAACUCCUUUUGUUAGAGAAGAUAAUGACGGUAUCUAACAAAUAAUCACCUGCUAACUCCAUGCCAGCAGCCGCCGUCAUACGGAGGGUGCAAGCGUUACUCGGAAUCACUGGUCGGAAAGGGAGCGUAGGCGGGUUAGCAACUCAGAUGUGAAAUCCUCUGGCUGAACCAUAGAACUGCAUUUGAAACUGUUAGUCUAGAGUAUGGGAGAGGUAGGUGGAAUUCUAGGUGUAGGGGUGAAAUGCGUAGAGAGCGAGAGGAAUACUCAUUGCGAAGGCGACCUGCUGGCACAUAACUGACGCUGAUGCGCGAAAGCGUGGGGAGCAAACAGGAUUAGAUACCCCGGUAGUC
Molecule: ribosomal RNA, 440 nt
Filed under: uncultured bacterium
Lineage: Bacteria
Description: partial 16S ribosomal RNA
Rfam family: Bacterial small subunit ribosomal RNA
Source: RNAcentral